AGAGUUUGAUCCUGGCUCAGAACGAACGCUGGCGGCAGGCCUAACACAUGCAGUCGAGCGCGCCUUUCGGGGGUGAGCGGCGGACGGGUGAGUAACGCGUGGGAAUAUGCCCUUUGCUGCGGAAUAGCCUCGGGAAACUGAGAGUAAUACCGCAUACGCCCUUUCGGGGGGAAAGAUUUAUCGGCGAAGGAUUAGCCCGCGUUGGAUUAGGUAGUUGGUGGGGUAAUGGCCUACCAAGCCGACGAUCCAUAGCUGGUUUGAGAGGAUGAUCAGCCACACUGGGACUGAGACACGGCCCAGACUCCUACGGGAGGCAGCAGUGGGGAAUCUUAGACAAUGGGGGCAACCCUGAUCUAGCCAUGCCGCGUGAGUGAUGAAGGCCUUAGGGUUGUAAAGCUCUUUCAGCUGGAAAGAUAAUGACGGUACCAGCAGAAGAAGCCCCGGCUAACUCCGUG
This 455-nucleotide ribosomal RNA is filed under the name uncultured Paracoccus sp. RNAcentral describes it as "bacterial SSU rRNA". It matches the Rfam family "Bacterial small subunit ribosomal RNA", at positions 8 to 507 of the family's 1533-position model. The record is from RNAcentral. Lineage: Bacteria; Pseudomonadati; Pseudomonadota; Alphaproteobacteria; Rhodobacterales; Paracoccaceae.